This is an RNA transcript of Helianthus annuus (common sunflower), 2449 nucleotides long. It is a transcript of the gene named peroxisomal (S)-2-hydroxy-acid oxidase GLO4-like, with no coding region annotated. NCBI's taxonomy places the organism in Eukaryota, Viridiplantae, Streptophyta, Magnoliopsida, Asterales, Asteraceae. The transcript is spliced from 3 exons. The record is from RefSeq and is a predicted model, not a curated record.
UGAUAGUGGCCACAAAAACCAAUCUAUAUCUGAUAAUAGAGAAAGCAAAUGAAUAGUGAAUGUAGUGUUGUUGUGGUCUGAUUGGACUAUUUGGAGGUGUUGGCCUCAUCAUCGUUCUCAAACAUGCGUCACCCAUACUUUUUUUCUUUCUUCUAAACUUAAUCCACAAACACGCGUUCUUUUCUCAGAGUAGAGAGGGGGAGAGAGAGAGAUUGAGAUUGACGACGGUGGUGGUAUCCGGCCGAUGACAGAGGCUUCUAGGGUUUCGAGGAGUGUCGACGAUUAAUGUUGGAGGAACAAAGAUGGUGGACCGACCGGCGGCGACGAAGACGACAACGAUAUGGAUUUUUCGAUGGUCGGUGAGAAGCUUAUCUGUUCAGUCUGUUCCGCAAGAUCUCUCGGUUUUCUUCCAUCGAAUUCCGAUCAUCCUGAGGUAACUUGAUCAUAUUGUUAUGUUAAUUGAUUCUGUUUCGAUCUAAUUAGCUCAGUGUAAUAACAGUUCAUGAUGAUUAUCAGUGAAAAUGUACGCAGGUUUAACUAUUAGGGUUAGUAUGUAACUUAGGUAUAUGAUUUUUGUUAGUGAGUUGUUAGAUUAAAGUUAUACACGCUCUGAUAUGCAACUCAGUGACUUGGAUAGAUUGUGUAAAGCUUCAUCGUGGUGUAAUUAGGUUUUGUUCGGUAUUUAAUUGGUAUUUUGGAGGCAAGUGGAUUGGGCAUUGGUAGCUUAUAGCAGGAAUUGUGUAUGUUGUGGUUUUAACUUUUAACAAUCUCUUCUUUAAGCUAAGCUCCACAAAGGAGAAAUAUUACAGAGUGCUCAAAGGCUAUAUAAACACGGUUUUGAUUUGUAUUUAAAAUCAAUAACACUUGUAGUUGAUCAAAUGUAUUUACUCAAGCAAAGAUAAUGCAAAUUAUCACUAAAAUAUGUGUUAUAAUUAUGUUACACGUCCCGGAGCGGGCUGCAGCUGCAACAACUAUAACUCGUGCGCUUGCUUCAAUCCUUCCGCAUCGAAGGCAUUAUAUAAUCUCUUCAAGCUAUGAAGAGCUUAGUUCUAUAUAUGGAAGUGAGCCUUCUAAUUAAUCACCGGAAGAACUUGAGGAAGAAUUUUAUGAAGAGGUUUGGUAUAUGUGCUUCUUUUGUUUUCUUUAGUUUUUUUAAUAAAUGGUUGAUUUUUAUGCAACAAUAUUUUAAAGAAAACACAGAUACGAAUAGUCUUACUUAUCAAACCAAAAAUGGGAUUUAUGUAAGGGGAUGUUGACUGGCAAGUGUAAUUAUUUCAGGGGUCAUGACUACAUGUAUUUGGCCAGAAUAAUAAAUAUGGUAAGAAGAGGACUUAAACUCUGAUUUUGGGUUUUAUCUACUUGCUGAAUAAGGCAUACCACAUACGACAAUCUUUUUGGUUUAGAUUAGAUUUAUGAGGUAUAUUUUUCUUCACAUUUAACCACAACUGUUGUCGCUAAAAUGCAAUCGUAACGGUUUUUGCACUUUGUUCCCACUCACUUGAUGUUACAAAAGUUGGUGUUUUUUAGCAUUUUUAUUACUCUUUUUAAAAAUUUAUAGUGUUUAUCACAAGAUAUAAAGAAAUGUUAGUUAAUCUUAUGAAAAAAUGUCAACAGCGAACAUAUAUAUGUGAAGAAAGAAAAUGUUAUAAGAAUUAAACUUAUGUGUGAUUACAUGGUUAUGCAUAAACGGUGACAUGUAUGAUGGCGAGUACUUUGUAGACAAAAUGCAUUGGGUGAAAGUGAAACGGGUCAAACUGGUUGAAGGUUGUUAGCAUGUCAUUAAUUUGUUGUACCCAACCCGGACCUACCCAUUACUUGACCCGUCUACUAUGCCACCGCUACUUCUUCAUAGAAAAUGCCAGUAGAUCUGUGUUUUUUGUUCUGUAACAGGUCCAACAUUUUUAAAACUAAAGCUAGCAUUGAAUUGAACAACAACUUUGAGAGAAUGAGGUUACAUUAACCAUGUGGUCGACUUGAUUUUCCACAUGGUAAAGUUUUGAAGUUAUUAUAGCACGAGUUAGCGGGCUUGUCACGAGCACAGUUUUGCCUACCACGUUGUGAUUAUCACCAUCGAUUAAGAAAUUUGUAGGGCUUACAAGUGGUACUUGCAGUUCAGAGAAGAAUACCAGGUUCCAUUUGAUGGAGGUUGGGCGAGCGAAUGUGUGUGGCUUAACAACAAAGGGUGAAUAUGGAGUAAAAAUAGUGAUCGAGAUGUUGAAGGAUGAACUAGAGUUCACAAUAGCUCUUUCCGGCUGCCCCACUCUCAACGGUAUUACCAGGAACCAUAUUAGAACUUAGGUAAUCGUCAUUGUAGAUUGUAGUUUUAAAUCAUUUUAUGAAGAAUCAUUUGAUAUUGGUUUUUAUAAUCUAGAAUAAUAAAAUUUAAAGUACUAAUGAAUCUACACUAGAUUUGAUUUGUAUUGGAAAAUAAAAAUAGUUGCUUUGUUCA